UGCCAGGGAGGGCUCUGCCACCAAAGCCCAGCCUGAACUAUGGAUCCUCUAAAGCUCUAUAAAGAAUGUCUCAUUCAGAUAUAAUCCUACAGCCAAAUCUUCUACUAGCCUCACUUUACUGAAGUCAGUGGAACAGCACCACCAGCAUGCCAUUAGAGAGAACAGGAGAUGGAGCACAAGAAAUACAUCUGUCUAAAUCCAUAUGGAUCCUGGCCCAUCCCUCAAAAACAUCUUUCCAGCUCAUGGAUUUUCCCCUUACCAUUGAAAUUACAGCUCUCCUAUAGGAAGCCCCACAUA
This is a long non-coding RNA of Alligator sinensis (Chinese alligator), 297 nucleotides long. RefSeq lists it as uncharacterized. The transcript is spliced from 3 exons. The record is from RefSeq and is a predicted model, not a curated record. NCBI's taxonomy places the organism in Eukaryota, Metazoa, Chordata, Crocodylia, Alligatoridae.